AACGCACCUUGCGCCUUUUGGUAUUCUGAAAGGCAUGCCUGUUUGAGUGUCAUGAAAUCUCAAUCCCCCUCAGGUUUAUGAUCUGGGUGGGACUUGGACUUGGGCGUCUGCCGGUCAAACGGCUCGCCUCAAAUGACUUAGUGGAUCUCUCUGCAUCUGUGACAGACGUAAUAAGUUUCGUCUCGUCCCUUGCUGCCCGAGUCCGCUCACAACCCGCCAUUGUGCACUUUUAGACUCUGACCUCAAAUCAGGUAGGACUACCCGCUGAACUUAA
Molecule: unclassified non-coding RNA, 274 nt
Filed under: uncultured Tremellales
Lineage: Eukaryota; Fungi; Basidiomycota; Tremellomycetes; Tremellales
Description: sequence contains ITS2
Source: RNAcentral